RNAcentral lists this ribosomal RNA (467 nucleotides) under uncultured bacterium. RNAcentral's name for it is "partial 16S ribosomal RNA". It matches the Rfam family "Bacterial small subunit ribosomal RNA", at positions 28 to 507 of the family's 1533-position model. The record is from RNAcentral.
GACGAACGCUGGCGGCGUGCUUAACACAUGCAAGUCGAACGGAAAGGCCUCUUUCGGGGGGUACUCGAGUGGCGAACGGGUGAGUAACACGUGAGUAACCUGCCCUUGACUUUGGGAUAACUUCAGGAAACUGGGGCUAAUACCGGAUAGGAGCUCCUGCUGCAUGGUGGGGGUUGGAAAGUUUCGGCGGUUGGGGAUGGACUCGCGGCUUAUCAGCUUGUUGGUGGGGUAGUGGCUUGCCAAGGCUUUGACGGGUAGCCGGCCUGAGAGGGUGACCGGCCACAUUGGGACUGAGAUACGGCCCAGACUCCUACGGGAGGCAGCGGUGGGGAAUAUUGCACAAUGGGUGGAAGCCUGAUGCAGCAACGCCGUGUGCGGGAUGACGGCCUUCGGGUUGUAAACCGCUUUCGCUCAUGACGAAGCUUUGUGUGACGGUAGUGGGUAAAGAAGCACCGGCUAACUACGUG